Molecule: long non-coding RNA, 702 nt
Filed under: Homo sapiens (human)
Lineage: Eukaryota; Metazoa; Chordata; Mammalia; Primates; Hominidae
Description: HSALNT0334879
Source: RNAcentral
AUUGCAGUAAACCAGUUUAUACUUAUAUCGUUCUUUGAUUUCUCUUAAAAAAUUUAACACAGGCUACAGAGAUUAAGUUGGCUAUUUCAAAAAAUAACUUUGGGAUAUAUGCUUAACAUUUUACCUUUCCUGUGCUUACAGAAUGCUUUUGGCUCAAAAGGGCCUUUCUAUUUUUGUAUUUAUCCUUUAUAGGGUAGAAUUCUUACUUUGUGUAAGAUCGAUAAUUCUUACUUUGUGUAAGAUACUAUCGAUAAGCUUUGUUCCUCCACAAGAGCCAUGAAGGCAGAUAUUCUGUCCUUUCUAAUCUUUGUGCAGCUGGCAGAAGAAAAGGUCGUGUGAUCCCACUGUGUCCCAACCUAAGAUUUUCUGCCCCUGCUUUCUCACACUAAUAGGUAACAUUUAUACACCAUUGUAAUUUUUAUUUUUAAUUGGUUUGUUUUCAAUUUUAACAGAGGAUUUCACCAGUGCAAAGUGCAUUUCAUUUUUGAUGAGCAGGGAAAAUAUAACCCUUUGACAAGCACCCAGGAAUAUUCUGUGAAAAAGACUAAGAUAUCAGAGAAAUUAUUAGUGCACAUUAUUAGAAGAGAGCUUCAGAUGAAAAUAAAGAUCAAGAAAAGACUCUUGCUUUGAGAAGACACAAAGAAAUCACAUCAUCUUAUUGGGAUUACUGGCUAGCCAUAUGCAGAAGAUUGAAGCUGGUCC